AUUGUCCCCAGAGGAAGUGGCGACUAACUCUGUGCCAGCAGUCGCGGUAAUACAGAGGCCACGAGCAUUAGUCGGAAUCACUGGGCUUAAAGGGUGCGUAGGUGGCUUGCCAAGUGCUUUGUGAAAUCCCACGGCUCAACCGUGGAACAGCAGGGCAUACUGGCAGGCUUGAGGCAAGUAGGGGCUGACGGAACAGUAGGUGGAGCGGUGAAAUGCGUAGAUAUCUACUGGAACGCCGAUGGUGAAGACGGUCAGCUGGGCUUGUCCUGACACUGAGGCACGAAAGCGUGGGGAGCAAACAGGAUUAGAUACCCUGGUAGUCCACGCCGUAAACGAUGCGCACUAGACCGGUGCGGUUUUGACGCCGUAUCGGUCGUAGUAAAAACGAUAAGUGCGCCGCCUGGGGAGUACGGUCGCAAGAUUAAAACUCAAAGGAAUUGACGGGAGCUCACACAAGCGGUGGAGCAUGUUGCUUAAUUCGAGGCAACGCGAAGAACCUUACCUGGGUUUGACAUGCUUGGAUUAACCUCUUGAAAGAGAGGCCACGCCCUUCGG
Molecule: ribosomal RNA, 555 nt
Filed under: uncultured bacterium
Lineage: Bacteria
Description: bacterial SSU rRNA
Rfam family: Bacterial small subunit ribosomal RNA
Source: RNAcentral